CUAACUGUGCAAAGGUAGCAUAAUCAUUAGUCUUUUAAUUGGAGGCUGGAAUGAAUGGUUUUAUGAAAUAUUAACUGUUUCAAUUUAAUUUAAUUUAGAAUUUUAUUUUUUAGUUAAAAAGCUAAGAUUUUUUUAAAAGACGAGAAGACCCUAUAAAUCUUUAUAAUUUAUUUUAUAAUUAAUAUUUAGAAAAUUUAAUUUUUUAUUUAGUAAAUUAUUUUAUUGGGGUGAUAUUAAAAUUUAUUAAACUUUUAAUUUAUAAUUUACAUAGAUUAAUGAUUUAUUGAUCCAUUUUUAUGAUUAGGAAAUUAAGUUACUUUAGGGAUAACAGCGUAAUUUUUUUAGAGAGUUCAUAUUAAUAAAAAAGGUUGCGACCUCGAUGUUGGAUUAAGAU
This 394-nucleotide ribosomal RNA is filed under the name Dohrniphora sp. female 608. RNAcentral's name for it is "partial 16S ribosomal RNA". The record is from RNAcentral. Lineage: Eukaryota; Metazoa; Arthropoda; Insecta; Diptera; Phoridae.